This 468-nucleotide ribosomal RNA is filed under the name uncultured bacterium. RNAcentral's name for it is "partial 16S ribosomal RNA". It matches the Rfam family "Bacterial small subunit ribosomal RNA", at positions 28 to 507 of the family's 1533-position model. The record is from RNAcentral.
GACGAACGCUGGCGGCGUGCUUAACACAUGCAAGUCGAACGGAAAGGCCCUGCUUUCUUGGGGUGCUCGAGUGGCGAACGGGUGAGUAACACGCGAGUAACCUGCCCUUGACUUGGGGAUAACUUCAGGAAACUGGGGCUACUACCGGAUAGGAGCUCCUGCUGCAUGGUGGGGGUUGGAAAGUUUCGGCGGUUCGUGAUGGACUCGCGCAGUAUCAGCGUGUUAGUGGGGUGGUGGCUUACCAAGGCUUUGACGGGUAGCCGGCCUGAGAGGGUGACCGGCCUCAUUGGGACUGAGAUACGGCCAAGACUCCUACGGUAGGCAGCGGUGGGGAAUAUUGCACAAUGGGAGGAAGCCGGAUGCAGCAACGCCGCGUGCGGGAUGACGGCCGUCGGGUUGUAAACCGCUUUCGCCUGUGACGAAGCGUGAGUGACGGUAAUGGGUAAAGAAGCAACGGCUAACUACGUG